UAAGGAAUAUUGGUCAAUGGACGCAAGUCUGAACCAGCCAUGCCGCGUGAAGGAUGAAGGUCCUCUGGAUUGUAAACUUCUUUUAUCUGGGACGAAAACGGGAUUUUUAUCUCAAUUGACGGUACCAGAGGAAUAAGCACCGGCUAACUCCGUGCCAGCAGCCGCGGUAAUACGGAGGGUGCGAGCGUUGUCCGGAUUUACUGGGCGUAAAGGAUGCGUAGGCGGAUACUUAAGUCAGAUGUGAAAAUCCCGGGCUUAACUUGGGAACUGCAUUUGAAACUGGGUAUCUAGAGUGCGGGAGAGGACAGUGGAAUUCCUAGUGUAGCGGUGAAAUGCGUAGAGAUUAGGAAGAACACCAGUGGCGAAGGCGACUUUCUGGACCGUAACGGACGCUGAGGC
Molecule: ribosomal RNA, 399 nt
Filed under: uncultured bacterium
Lineage: Bacteria
Description: bacterial SSU rRNA
Rfam family: Bacterial small subunit ribosomal RNA
Source: RNAcentral